GGUGAGAUGGCCGAGUGGUUAUGGCGCUGCGUUCAGGUUAAUCCUGAAUAUAUCUAUCUCUGUUUUCCAUCUGGAUAAACAGAAAAUAUCGCAGUGGAGCAAUCCGCGUGGGUUCGAGUCCCACUCUCAUCA
Non-coding RNA from Hypoxylon sp. FL0890, 132 nucleotides. The record is from the annotation of a GenBank genome assembly. Lineage: Eukaryota; Fungi; Ascomycota; Sordariomycetes; Xylariales; Hypoxylaceae.